GAGGCGUGCGGCGGCGCGAGGCUAGGGCAUGCGGCAAGUGUGGCCGCGGUGGGGAGCGUCUCCAGCAAGGGGCCAAGCGGCUGGUAGGGGCGUGGGGCCCAAGGGAAGCGAUGGGGGCAAUGGCGGCGGCCGGUGGGAUGCAGCUCGCCCCACGGCGGCGGGGUGCGGCUCGGGCGGGAUUUCUUUUUUUAUUUUUUAAUACUCCUUUAGUACCGGUUAUUUACCCGAUACUAAAGGCCCCCCGUUUAGUACCGAAGUAGCAGUGCCGGUUACACAACUGGUACUAAGGGGGCUUAGGAAUCGGUACCGAAGGCGCUUUCCCAGCAGAAGCCUAUCA
This 337-nucleotide long non-coding RNA is filed under the name Setaria viridis. Its description in RNAcentral is "long non-coding RNA (SVIR_LNC000022)". The record is from RNAcentral. Lineage: Eukaryota; Viridiplantae; Streptophyta; Magnoliopsida; Poales; Poaceae.